AUUAUGGGCUUAAAAACCAUUCGCACAAUUAUUGCACGAUUUUUAUUUUUCGUUGUUAUUCAUGCUUAUUUGCUUUUAGAUACAUUUUUAGGUGCUCUAAGGAUGUUGAGGAAUUACGUAUUAAUGAUCUUUAUAUUUGUAUAUUAUUUGUGAAGUUGUUAUUGGCGCUUGAUGUGAUUAAUUGUGUGCUAACAUGUUUUAGCUGAUUAAUUGUGUGCUAACAUGUUUUAGCUGUUAACAGGGGGAGCACUCGAAGCCUAAUGCUUUUAAAAUUUUAUAUUUUGCUUUGAAAAUGAUUUUCGCUAGAGUUGAGCAUCAAAAUAUGAAAAAGCAAUGUUUUAGCAAGUUUUUAACUGGAAAUGAAUUUGAAUAUCUUCAAUCCAAUGUCUUCAACUUGUUCAAACAAAGAAACAUGGUAAAACUUGAAUUGUUUUAAUUUUUCACAGUGUUAAGUGUAACCCAUAAAGGAUUUUACAGCUUAAAACAUCAUAUAUAAUUUUUGAACAAUUCUGGGUGUGAAAGCUAUUCGCACAAUUUCUUUGUUUAAGUUAUAAAAGAUUUUGGAGCUUAAAACAUUAGACUUUGUUUCUGAACAAUUUUGGGAAUAAAAAUCUUUUGCACAAUUAUUGCAUGAUUUUAAUUUUUCGUUGUGUUUCAUACUUAUUUUCUUUUAGAUAUAUUUUUAGGCGCUCUAAGAAAGUUGAGGAAUUACUUAUGAACGAUCUUUAUAUUUGGAUAUUAUUUGUGAAGUUGUUAUUAGUGCUAGAUGUGAUUAAUUGUGUGCUAAAUUGUUUUAGAAGUUUUAUAAGGACAGCACUCGAAGCCUAAUGCUUUUGAAAUUUUAUGUUUUGCUUUGAAAAUGAUUUUCACUUGUAUCAAGCUUUAAAAUAUGAAAACAUUGUUUUAGCAGGUUUUUAAAUGCAAAUGAAUUUGACUAUCUUGAAUCCAAUGUUUUAAACUUGCUCAAACAAAGAAACAUAGCAAAACUUGCAUUGGUUUUAAUUUUUCAUAGUGUUAAGUGUAUGUUAUAAAGGAUUUUGGAGCUUAAACUAUUAGACUUUGUUUCUGAAAAUUAUGGGCUUAAAACCAUUCGCACAAUUAUUGCACGAUUUUAUUUUUCGUUGUUAUUCAUACUUAUUUGCUUUUAGAUACAUUUUUAGGUGCUCUAAGGAUGUUGAGGAAUUACGUAUUAAUGAUCUUCAUAUUUGGAUAUUAUUUGUGAAGUUGUUAUUGGUGCUUGAUGUGAUUAAUUAUGUGCUAAAUUGUUUUAGCAAUUUAUAGGGGGAGCACUCGAAGCCUAAUGGUUUUGAAAUUUUAUGUUUUGCUUUGAAAAUGAUUUUCACCG
Molecule: long non-coding RNA, 1345 nt
Filed under: Durio zibethinus
Lineage: Eukaryota; Viridiplantae; Streptophyta; Magnoliopsida; Malvales; Malvaceae
Description: long non-coding RNA (DZIB_LNC000409)
Source: RNAcentral